GCUGGGCGAGGUGGUGCAUGCCUGUAAUCCCAGUGGCUCAGGAGGCUGAGGCAGGAGGAUUUCACGUUCAAAGCCAGCCUCAGCAAGGGCAAGGUGCUGAGCAACUCAGUGAAACUCUAUCUCUA
Molecule: small RNA, 125 nt
Filed under: Marmota monax (woodchuck)
Lineage: Eukaryota; Metazoa; Chordata; Mammalia; Rodentia; Sciuridae
Source: RNAcentral